RNAcentral lists this ribosomal RNA (497 nucleotides) under uncultured bacterium. RNAcentral describes it as "partial 16S ribosomal RNA". It matches the Rfam family "Bacterial small subunit ribosomal RNA", at positions 28 to 507 of the family's 1533-position model. The record is from RNAcentral.
GAUGAACGCUGGCGGCGUGCCUAAUACAUGCAAGUCGAGCGAACGGACGAGAAGCUUGCUUUUCUGAUGUUAGCGGCGGACGGGUGAGUAACACGUGGAUAACCUACCUAUAAGACUGGUAUAACUUCGGGAAACCGGAGCUAAUACCGGAUAAUAUUUUGAACCGCAUUGUUCAAUAGUGAAAGACGGUCUUUCUGUCACUUAUAGCUGGAUCCGCGCUGCAUUAGCUAGUUGGUAAGGUAACGGCUUACCAAGGCAACGAUGCCUAGCCGACCUGAGAGAGUGGUCGGCGACACUGGAACGUAGACACGGUCAAGACUCCUAAGAGAGGCAGCAGUAGGGAAUGUGACGCAGUGGGCGAAAGCAUGACGGAGCGAGGCGGCGUGAGUGAUGAAGGUGUUCGGAGCGUAAAAAUCUGUUAUUAGGGAAGAACAUAUGUGGAAGUAACUGUGCACAGAGUGACGGUAACUAAUAAGAAAGCAACGGCUAACUACGUG